Molecule: non-coding RNA, 179 nt
Filed under: Clostridiales bacterium
Lineage: Bacteria; Bacillati; Bacillota; Clostridia; Eubacteriales
Description: 6S RNA
Rfam family: 6S / SsrS RNA
About the family: E. coli 6S RNA was the first non coding RNA to be sequenced, but its function was unknown until recently. It consists of 184 nucleotides that fold into an extended hairpin structure with a large single-stranded internal bulge. The 6S RNA specifically associates with RNA polymerase holoenzyme containing the sigma70 specificity factor.
Source: RNAcentral
GUAUUCCUGAGGUGAUCGCCAAUCUGUUCUUUUUAACCCACAGAGAUAAUAUGGGAAUCCGGAGUUUGGUUAUCUAUGGCAUAUCCCCAUUGUAUGGGGAAAGGCAGAAGUAGCUAACAGGAUACCCACCUGCUGAGAAGGCGGGUAAAAAGGCAGGCUAACGACACAAUGGGAAGGAA